RNAcentral lists this ribosomal RNA (468 nucleotides) under uncultured bacterium. RNAcentral describes it as "partial 16S ribosomal RNA". It matches the Rfam family "Bacterial small subunit ribosomal RNA", at positions 28 to 507 of the family's 1533-position model. The record is from RNAcentral.
GACGAACGCUGGCGGCGUGCUUAACACAUGCAAGUCGAACGGAAAGGCCCUGCUUUUGUGGGGUGCUCGAGUGGCGAACGGGUGAGUAACACGUGAGUAACCUGCCCUUGACUUUGUGAUAACUUCAGGAAACUGGGGCUAAUACCGGAUAGGAGCUCCUGCUGCAUGGUGGGGGUUGGAAAGUUUCGGCGGUUGGGGAUGGACUCGCGGCUUAUCAGCUUGUUGGUGGGGUAGUUGCUUACCAAGGCUUUGACGGGUAGCCGGCCUGGGAGGGUGACCGGCCACAAUGGGACUAAGGGAGGGACCAGACUGCAACGGGAGGCAGCAGUGGGGAAUAUUGCACAAUGGGCGGAAGCCUGAUGCAGCAACGCCGCGUGCGGGAUGACGGCCUUCGGGUUGUAAACCGCUUUCGCCUGUGACGAAGCGUGAGUGACGGUAAUGGGUAAAGAAGCACCGGCUAACUACGUG